RNAcentral lists this ribosomal RNA (834 nucleotides) under Staphylococcus aureus. RNAcentral describes it as "partial 23S ribosomal RNA". It matches the Rfam family "Bacterial large subunit ribosomal RNA", at positions 338 to 1174 of the family's 2925-position model. Lineage: Bacteria; Bacillati; Bacillota; Bacilli; Caryophanales; Staphylococcaceae. The record is from RNAcentral.
UCAUCUGGAAAGAUGAAUCAAAGAAGGUAAUAAUCCUGUAGUCGAAAAUGUUGUCUCUCUUGAGUGGAUCCUGAGUACGACGGAGCACGUGAAAUUCCGUCGGAAUCUGGGAGGACCAUCUCCUAAGGCUAAAUACUCUCUAGUGACCGAUAGUGAACCAGUACCGUGAGGGAAAGGUGAAAAGCACCCCGGAAGGGGAGUGAAAUAGAACCUGAAACCGUGUGCUUACAAGUAGUCAGAGCCCGUUAAUGGGUGAUGGCGUGCCUUUUGUAGAAUGAACCGGCGAGUUACGAUUUGAUGCAAGGUUAAGCAGUAAAUGUGGAGCCGUAGCGAAAGCGAGUCUGAAUAGGGCGUUUAGUAUUUGGUCGUAGACCCGAAACCAGGUGAUCUACCCUUGGUCAGGUUGAAGUUCAGGUAACACUGAAUGGAGGACCGAACCGACUUACGUUGAAAAGUGAGCGGAUGAACUGAGGGUAGCGGAGAAAUUCCAAUCGAACCUGGAGAUAGCUGGUUCUCUCCGAAAUAGCUUUAGGGCUAGCCUCAAGUGAUGAUUAUUGGAGGUAGAGCACUGUUUGGACGAGGGGCCCCUCUCGGGUUACCGAAUUCAGACAAACUCCGAAUGCCAAUUAAUUUAACUUGGGAGUCAGAACAUGGGUGAUAAGGUCCGUGUUCGAAAGGGAAACAGCCCAGACCACCAGCUAAGGUCCCAAAAUAUAUGUUAAGUGGAAAAGGAUGUGGCGUUGCCCAGACAACUAGGAUGUUGGCUUAGAAGCAGCCAUCAUUUAAAGAGUGCGUAAUAGCUCACUAGUCGAGUGACACUGCGCCGAAAAUGUA